GUGGGGAAUCUUGCGCAAUGGGCGAAAGCCUGACGCAGCCAUGCCGCGUGAAUGAUGAAGGUCUUAGGAUUGUAAAAUUCUUUCACCGGGGACGAUAAUGACGGUACCCGGAGAAGAAGCUCCGGCUAACUUCGUGCCAGCAGCCGCGGUAAUACGAAGGGGGCUAGCGUUGCUCGGAAUUACUGGGCGUAAAGGGCGCGUAGGCGGACAGCUUAGUCAGAGGUGAAAGCCCAGGGCUCAACCUUGGAAUUGCCUUUGGUACUGGCUGGCUUGAGUUUGGGAGAGGUGAGUGGAAGUCCGGGUGUAGAGGUGAAAUUCGUAGAUAUUCGGAAGAACACCAGUGGCGAAGGCGACUCACUGGCCCAAUACUGACGUUGAGGCGCGAAAGCGUGGGGAGCAAACAGGAUUAGAUACCCUUGUAGUCC
This 425-nucleotide ribosomal RNA is filed under the name uncultured bacterium. RNAcentral describes it as "partial 16S ribosomal RNA". It matches the Rfam family "Bacterial small subunit ribosomal RNA", at positions 354 to 796 of the family's 1533-position model. The record is from RNAcentral.